This 478-nucleotide ribosomal RNA is filed under the name uncultured bacterium. Its description in RNAcentral is "partial 16S ribosomal RNA". It matches the Rfam family "Bacterial small subunit ribosomal RNA", at positions 28 to 523 of the family's 1533-position model. The record is from RNAcentral.
GACGAACGCUGGCGGCGUGCUUAACACAUGCAAGUCGAACGGUAAGGCCCUUCGGGGUACACGAGUGGCGAACGGGUGAGUAACACGUGGGUGAUCUGCCCUGCACUUCGGGAUAAGCCUGGGAAACUGGGUCUAAUACCGGAUAGGACCACUGCCUGCAUGGGUGGUGGUGGAAAGCUUUUGCGGUGUGGGAUGGGCCCGCGGCCUAUCAGCUUGUUGGUGGGGUGAUGGCCUACCAAGGCGACGACGGGUAGCCGGCCUGAGAGGGUGACCGGCGACACUGGGACUGAGAGACGGCCCAGACUCCUACGGGAGGCAGCAGUGGGGAAUAUUGCACAAUGGGCGCAAGCCUGAUGCAGCGACGCCGCGUGAGGGAUGACGGCCUUCGGGUUGUAAACCUCUUUCAGCACCGACGAAGCGCAAGUGACGGUAGGUGCAGAAGAAGGACCGGCCAACCACGUGCCAGCCGCCGCCGUAA